This 106-nucleotide ribosomal RNA is filed under the name Bacilli bacterium. The record is from RNAcentral. Lineage: Bacteria; Bacillati; Bacillota; Bacilli.
AUUGGUAACGAUAGCAAAGAGGAUACACCUGUUCCCAUCUCGAACACAGAAGUUAAGCUCUUUAACGCCGACGAUAGUUUAUCGCGAAAAUAGGAAGUUGCCAAUU